CACUCUUGCUUUAUUCUAUCUUUUCCACCUUCUAUUCUUUGGCUCAAACUGACUUAAACAUCGGAGGAUCUUUAACCAGAGGAUCUCUAUCAAUUUUUGACUUAUUUUAUAGGUUUUAACGAAAGUCUUGCCAAAUUAGAUUUCUCUCGAUCUCCAGCUUGACGUCGUCCAAUCUCAUCAUCUCUCAUUUUGAGCCUCGCAGCAAUAGACUGAUGC
RNAcentral lists this long non-coding RNA (216 nucleotides) under Elaeis guineensis (African oil palm). RNAcentral describes it as "long non-coding RNA (EGUI_LNC014233)". The record is from RNAcentral. Lineage: Eukaryota; Viridiplantae; Streptophyta; Magnoliopsida; Arecales; Arecaceae.